This 274-nucleotide ribosomal RNA is filed under the name uncultured bacterium. RNAcentral's name for it is "partial 16S ribosomal RNA". It matches the Rfam family "Bacterial small subunit ribosomal RNA", at positions 523 to 796 of the family's 1533-position model. The record is from RNAcentral.
AUACGGAGGGAGCGAGCGUUAAUCGGAAUUACUGGGCGUAAAGCGCGCGUAGGCGGCUUUGUAAGUCGGUUGUGAAAGCCCUGGGCUCAACCUGGGAAUGGCAUUCGAUACUGCAGAGCUAGAGUAUGGUAGAGGGAAGUGGAAUUUCCGGUGUAGCGGUGAAAUGCGUAGAUAUCGGAAGGAACACCAGUGGCGAAGGCGACUUCCUGGGCCAAUACUGACGCUGAGGUGCGAAAGCGUGGGGAGCAAACAGGAUUAGAAACCCCGGUAGUCC